UACGAAGGGUGCGAGCGUUAAUCGGAAUUACUGGGCGUAAAGCGCGUGUAGGCGGCAACGCAAGUCGGGCGUGAAAUCCCACGGCUCAACCGUGGAAGUGCACUCGAAACUGCGUAGCUAGAGUCCUGGAGAGGAAGGUGGAAUGCUUGGUGUAGAGGUGAAAUUCGUAGAUAUCAAGCGGAACACCGGUGGCGAAGGCGGCCUUCUGGACAGUGACUGACGCUGAGACGCGAAAGCGUGGGGAGCAAACAGG
This 253-nucleotide ribosomal RNA is filed under the name uncultured bacterium. RNAcentral's name for it is "partial 16S ribosomal RNA". It matches the Rfam family "Bacterial small subunit ribosomal RNA", at positions 524 to 776 of the family's 1533-position model. The record is from RNAcentral.